RNAcentral lists this ribosomal RNA (254 nucleotides) under uncultured prokaryote. RNAcentral's name for it is "partial 16S ribosomal RNA". It matches the Rfam family "Bacterial small subunit ribosomal RNA", at positions 521 to 774 of the family's 1533-position model. The record is from RNAcentral.
UAAUACGUAGGUGGCAAGCGUUAUCCGGAAUUAUUGGGCGUAAAGCGCGCGUAGGCGGUUUUUUAAGUCUGAUGUGAAAGCCCACGGCUCAACCGUGGAGGGUCAUUGGAAACUGGAAAACUUGAGUGCAGAAGAGGAAAGUGGAAUUCCAUGUGUAGCGGUGAAAUGCGCAGAGAUAUGGAGGAACACCAGUGGCGAAGGCGACUUUCUGGUCUGUAACUGACGCUGAUGUGCGAAAGCGUGGGGAUCAAACA